Molecule: ribosomal RNA, 1104 nt
Filed under: Mammaliicoccus sciuri
Lineage: Bacteria; Bacillati; Bacillota; Bacilli; Caryophanales; Staphylococcaceae
Description: bacterial SSU rRNA
Rfam family: Bacterial small subunit ribosomal RNA
Source: RNAcentral
CUUGCUUCUCUGAUGUUAGCGGCGGACGGGUGAGUAACACGUGGGUAACCUACCUAUAAGACUGGGAUAACUCCGGGAAACCGGGGCUAAUACCGGAUAAUAUUUUGAACCGCAUGGUUCAAUAGUGAAAGACGGUUUCGGCUGUCACUUAUAGAUGGACCCGCGCCGUAUUAGCUAGUUGGUAAGGUAACGGCUUACCAAGGCGACGAUACGUAGCCGACCUGAGAGGGUGAUCGGCCACACUGGAACUGAGACACGGUCCAGACUCCUACGGGAGGCAGCAGUAGGGAAUCUUCCGCAAUGGGCGAAAGCCUGACGGAGCAACGCCGCGUGAGUGAUGAAGGUCUUCGGAUCGUAAAACUCUGUUGUUAGGGAAGAACAAAUUUGUUAGUAACUGAACAAGUCUUGACGGUACCUAACCAGAAAGCCACGGCUAACUACGUGCCAGCAGCCGCGGUAAUACGUAGGUGGCAAGCGUUAUCCGGAAUUAUUGGGCGUAAAGCGCGCGUAGGCGGUUUCUUAAGUCUGAUGUGAAAGCCCACGGCUCAACCGUGGAGGGUCAUUGGAAACUGGGAAACUUGAGUGCAGAAGAGGAGAGUGGAAUUCCAUGUGUAGCGGUGAAAUGCGCAGAGAUAUGGAGGAACACCAGUGGCGAAGGCGGCUCUCUGGUCUGUAACUGACGCUGAUGUGCGAAAGCGUGGGGAUCAAACAGGAUUAGAUACCCUGGUAGUCCACGCCGUAAACGAUGAGUGCUAAGUGUUAGGGGGUUUCCGCCCCUUAUUGCUGCAGCUAACGCAUUAAGCACUCCGCCUGGCGAGUACGACCGCGAGGUUGAUACUCAAAGGAAUUGACGGAGACCCGCACAAGCGGUGUAGCAUGUGUUUAAUUCGAAGCGACGCGAAAAACCUUACCAAAUCUUGACGUCCUUUGACCGCUCUAGAGAUAUAUUCUUCGCCUUCGCGGGACAAAGUGACAGGUGGUACAUGAUUGUCUUCUCUCCCAACAGGAAAGUUGGAUUAAAGCCCCGCCCCACCCCAACCCUUAGGUUUUUUUCCUUGUUUAUUUUGGCCGCGGAGAUUACUCCCCUCGCCGCCCCCAAGAAAG